UACGUAGGGUGCGAGCGUUAAUCGGAAUUACUGGGCGUAAAGUGUGCGCAGGUGGCCGCGCAAGUCGAGUGUGAAAUCCCCGAGCUUAACUUGGGAAUUGCGCUCGAAACUACGUGGCUCGAGUGUGGCAGAGGAAGGUGGAAUUCCACGUGUAGCGGUGAAAUUCGUAGAUAUUGGGAAGAACACCGGUGGCGAAGGCGGCGCUCUGGACCGAGACUGACGCUGAGGCGCGAAAGCGUGGGGAGCAAACAGG
This 253-nucleotide ribosomal RNA is filed under the name uncultured bacterium. RNAcentral describes it as "partial 16S ribosomal RNA". It matches the Rfam family "Bacterial small subunit ribosomal RNA", at positions 524 to 776 of the family's 1533-position model. The record is from RNAcentral.